This 465-nucleotide ribosomal RNA is filed under the name uncultured bacterium. Its description in RNAcentral is "partial 16S ribosomal RNA". It matches the Rfam family "Bacterial small subunit ribosomal RNA", at positions 28 to 507 of the family's 1533-position model. The record is from RNAcentral.
GACGAACGCUGGCGGCGUGCUUAACACAUGCAAGUCGAACGGAAAGGCCCUGCUUGCAGGGUACUCGAGUGGCGAACGGGUGAGUAACACGUGGGUGAUCUGCCCUGCACUUCGGGAUAAGCUUGGGAAUCUGGGUCUAAUACCGGAUAGGAACCAUCUUUAGUGUGGUGGUUGGAAAGUUUUUUCGGUGUAGGAUGAGCUCGCGGCCUAUCAGCUUGUUGGUGGGGUAAUGGCCUACCAAGGCGGCGACGGGUAGCCGGCCUGAGAGGGUGUACGGCCACAUUGGGACUGAGAUACGGCCCAGACUCCUACGGGAGGCAGCAGUGGGGAAUAUUGCACAAUGGGCGCAAGCCUGAUGCAGCGACGCCGCGUGGGGGAUGAAGGCCUUCGGGUUGUAAACUCCUUUCGCUAGGGACGAAGCUUUUUGUGACGGUACCUAGAUAAGAAGCACCGGCUAACUACGUG